UGGGGAAUAUUGCACAAUGGAGGGAACUCUGAUGCAGCGACGCCGCGUGAACGAAGAAGGCUUUCGAGUCGUAAAGUUCUUUUAUAUGGGAAGAUAAUGACGGUACCAUAAGAAAAAGCCCCGGCUAACUACGUGCCAGCAGCCGCGGUAAUACGUAGGGGGCUAGCGUUGUCCGGAAUCACUGGGCGUAAAGGGUUCGCAGGCGGAAAUGCAAGUCAGGUGUAAAAGGCAGUAGCUUAACUAAUGUAAGCAUUUGAAACUGCAUAUCUUGAGAAGAGUAGAGGUAAGUUGAAUUUUUAGUGUAGCGGUGAAAUGCGUAGAUAUUAAAAAGAAUACCGGUGGCGAAGGCGACUUACUGGGCUCAUUCUGACGCUGAGGAACGAAAGCGUGGGUAGCAAACAGG
Molecule: ribosomal RNA, 403 nt
Filed under: bacterium
Lineage: Bacteria
Description: partial 16S ribosomal RNA
Rfam family: Bacterial small subunit ribosomal RNA
Source: RNAcentral